This 406-nucleotide ribosomal RNA is filed under the name uncultured bacterium. Its description in RNAcentral is "partial 16S ribosomal RNA". It matches the Rfam family "Bacterial small subunit ribosomal RNA", at positions 29 to 526 of the family's 1533-position model. The record is from RNAcentral.
AUUGAACGCUGGCGGCAGGCCUAACACAUGCAAGUCGAACGAGUGGCGGACGGGUGAGUAAUGUCUGGGAAACUGCCUGAUGGAGGGGGAUAACUACUGGAAACGGUAGCUAAUACCGCAUACCAUCAGAUGUGCCCAGAUGGGAUUAGCUUGUUGGUGGGGUAACGGCUCACCAAGGCGACGAUCCCUAGCUGGUCUGAGAGGAUGACCAGCCAAACUGGAACGGAGAACCGGUCCAGACUCCUGGUGGAGGCAGCAGGGGGGAAUAUUGAAAAAUGGGGGCAAGCCGGAUGCAGCCAUGCGGCGUGUAUGAAGAGGGCCUUCGGGUUGUAAAGUACUUUCAGCGGGGAGGCUUGACCCGAAGAAGAAGCACCGGCUAACUCCGUGCCAGCAGCCGAGGUAAUAC